Molecule: non-coding RNA, 180 nt
Filed under: Haloplasma contractile
Lineage: Bacteria; Bacillati; Mycoplasmatota; Mollicutes; Haloplasmatales; Haloplasmataceae
Also listed under: 1 other name
Source: RNAcentral
AACUAAAUUGUAGUUUUUGGUGUUCCUUUUUAAUAAGGAACUUAAUAGGGAAUUGAGUUUAAAUCUCAAGCUGUCCCAGCAACCGUAAUAUGGACGAAAGGCAAUGACCACUGCGAAAGCGGGAAGGUGCCUAGUAGGAUGAAGUUAAGCCGGUAGACCUGCCAUUAACACAAGUUGUCA